RNAcentral lists this ribosomal RNA (503 nucleotides) under uncultured bacterium. RNAcentral's name for it is "partial 16S ribosomal RNA". It matches the Rfam family "Bacterial small subunit ribosomal RNA", at positions 30 to 523 of the family's 1533-position model. The record is from RNAcentral.
AUUGAACGCUGGCGGCAGGCUUAACACAUGCAAGUCGAGCGGGGUGAUGGUGCUUGCACUAUCACUUAGCGGCGGACGGGUGAGUAAUGCUUAGGAAUCUGCCUAUUAGUGGGGGACAACAUCUCGAAAGGGAUGCUAAUACCGCAUACGUCCUACGGGAGAAAGCAGGGGAUCACUUGUGACCUUGCGCUAAUAGAUGAGACUAAGUCGGGUUAGCUAGUUGGUGGGGUAAAGGCCUACCAAGGCGACGAUCUGUAGCGGGUCUGAGAGGAUGAUCCGCCACACUGGGACUGAGACACGGCCCAGACUCCUACGGGAGGCAGCAGUGGGGAAUAUUGGACAAUGGGGGGAACCCUGAUCCAGCCAUGCCGCGUGUGUGAAGAAGGCCUUAUGGUUGUAAAGCACUUUAAGCGAGGAGGAGGCUCUUUUGGUUAAUACCCAAGAUGAGUGGACGUUACUCGCAGAAUAAGCACCGGCUAACUCUGUGCCAGCAGCCGCCGUAA